This 356-nucleotide ribosomal RNA is filed under the name uncultured bacterium. RNAcentral describes it as "bacterial SSU rRNA". It matches the Rfam family "Bacterial small subunit ribosomal RNA", at positions 976 to 1326 of the family's 1533-position model. The record is from RNAcentral.
UGGGCUUGAACUGCAGGCAUUAGCGACCUGAAAGGGCUCGUGAUCCUCCUUUGGAGGAACCUGUAGAGGUGCUGCAUGGCUGUCGUCAGCUCGUGUCGUGAGAUGUUGGGUUAAGUCCCGCAACGAGCGCAACCCUUACCAUUAGUUGUCAGCGAGUUAAGUUGGAUACUCUAAUGGGACUGCCGGUGACGAGCCGGAGGAAGGUGGGGAUGACGUCAAGUCAGCAUGGCCUUUAUGUCCAGGGCUACACACGUGCUACAAUAGAUGGUAUAGAGGGCAGCAAGACCGCGAGGUGGAGCCAAUCCCUAAAACCAUUCUCAGUUCGGAUUGCAGGCUGCAAUUCGCCUGCAUGAAGC